This 253-nucleotide ribosomal RNA is filed under the name uncultured bacterium. Its description in RNAcentral is "partial 16S ribosomal RNA". It matches the Rfam family "Bacterial small subunit ribosomal RNA", at positions 524 to 776 of the family's 1533-position model. The record is from RNAcentral.
UACGUAGGGGGCAAGCGUUGUCCGGAUUUAUUGGGCGUAAAGAGCGUGUAGGCGGUCAGGUAGGUCCGUUGUGAAAACUCGAGGCUCAACCUCGAGACGCCGAUGGAAACCAUCUGACUAGAGUCCGGAAGAGGAGAGUGGAAUUCCUGGUGUAGCGGUGAAAUGCGCAGAUAUCAGGAAGAACACCCGUGGCUAAGGCGGGUCUCUGGGCCGAUACUGACGCUGAGGAGCGAAAGCGUGGGGAGCAAACAGG